ACACAUGCAGUCGAGCGGUAGCACAGAGAGCUUGCUCUCGGGUGACGAGCGGCGGACGGGUGAGUAAUGUCUGGGAAACUGCCUGAUGGAGGGGGAUAACUACUGGAAACGGUAGCUAAUACCGCAUAACGUCGCAAGACCAAAGUGGGGGACCUUCGGGCCUCAUGCCAUCAGAUGUGCCCAGAUGGGAUUAGCUAGUAGGUGGGGUAACGGCUCACCUAGGCGACGAUCCCUAGCUGGUCUGAGAGGAUGACCAGCCACACUGGAACUGAGACACGGUCCAGACUCCUACGGGAGGCAGCAGUGGGGAAUAUUGCACAAUGGGCGCAAGCCUGAUGCAGCCAUGCCGCGUGUGUGAAGAAGGCCUUCGGGUUGUAAAGCACUUUCAGCGGGGAGGAAGGCGUUAAGGUUAAUAACCUUGUCGAUUGACGUUACCCGCAGAAGAAGCACCGGCUAACUCCGUGCCAGCAGCCGCGGUAAUACGGAGGGUGCAAGCGUUAAUCGGAAUUACUGGGCGUAAAGCGCACGCAGGCGGUCUGUCAAGUCGGAUGUGAAAUCCCCGGGCUCAACCUGGGAACUGCAUUCGAAACUGGCAGGCUAGAGUCUUGUAGAGGGGGGUAGAAUUCCAGGUGUAGCGGUGAAAUGCGUAGAGAUCUGGAGGAAUACCGGUGGCGAAGGCGGCCCCCUGGACAAAGACUGACGCUCAGGUGCGAAAGCGUGGGGAGCAAACAGGAUUAGAUACCCUGGUAGUCCACGCCGUAAACGAUGUCGAUUUGGAGGUUGUGCCCUUGAGGCGUGGCUUCCGGAGCUAACGCGUUAAAUCGACCGCCUGGGGAGUACGGCCGCAAGGUUAAAACUCAAAUGAAUUGACGGGGGCCCGCACAAGCGGUGGAGCAUGUGGUUUAAUUCGAUGCAACGCGAAGAACCUUACCUGGUCUUGACAUCCACAGAACUUACCAGAGAUGGAUUGGUGCCUUCGGGAACUGUGAGACAGGUGCUGCAUGGCUGUCGUCAGCUCGUGUUGUGAAAUGUUGGGUUAAGUCCCGCAACGAGCGCAACCCUUAUCCUUUGUUGCCAGCGGUUAGGCCGGGAACUCAAAGGAGACUGCCAGUGAUAAACUGGAGGAAGGUGGGGAUGACGUCAAGUCAUCAUGGCCCUUACGACCAGGGCUACACACGUGCUACAAUGGCAUAUACAAAGAGAAGCGACCUCGCGAGAGCAAGCGGACCUCAUAAAGUAUGUCGUAGUCCGGAUUGGAGUCUGCAACUCGACUCCAUGAAGUCGGAAUCGCUAGUAAUCGUAGAUCAGAAUGCUACGGUGAAUACGUUCCCGGGCCUUGUACACACCGCCCGUCACACCAUGGGAGUGGGUUGCAAAAGAAGUAGGUAGCUUAACCUUCGGGAGGGCGCUACC
RNAcentral lists this ribosomal RNA (1413 nucleotides) under Klebsiella pneumoniae. Its description in RNAcentral is "bacterial SSU rRNA". It matches the Rfam family "Bacterial small subunit ribosomal RNA". Lineage: Bacteria; Pseudomonadati; Pseudomonadota; Gammaproteobacteria; Enterobacterales; Enterobacteriaceae. The record is from RNAcentral.